Notolabrus celidotus (New Zealand spotty) is the source of this 3123-nucleotide long non-coding RNA. RefSeq lists it as uncharacterized. The record is from RefSeq and is a predicted model, not a curated record. The transcript is spliced from 3 exons. Lineage: Eukaryota; Metazoa; Chordata; Actinopteri; Labriformes; Labridae.
GUAUCAAAGCUCCCCAUCAGAGUGCUUUGUGUUUGUAGACUGAGAGGGGGAAAGGAGAGAGCAGCAAGCAGCUCAGGGAAAGUAAAACCGGCAGGACUCGCACAGAGCUCUGGAUCUCCGGCGAGGAGCAAGUUUGAUAUAUUACUGGAAGAGGUUUUGGCAAACACAGAUAUAGUCACAUACGGGAAUGUUGUGCGACCAAUAAGCAUCCAGCAGGUUUAUUUGGAAGGCUGACUCAGGCAGACUGCGCAUGGCUACGGCCAAUAUGGAAACAUUACGGAGGGAAUUAACGAACAAAAUGUUGGCACGUCAGGUUUCUAGCACGCCACCAAUGCAGCAGCUUGGAGAUUUAGGAACACAAUUCUCACACAGGAAGCACAUGCCAUAACUUUACGACAGCGAGCCCGACAGUAAACAAACCGGCCCUCCAGCGGAUGUGAACAGAAACGACAGGAGCCAAUGGGAGGCUAAGAUCAUCGCUGUGACAUUCUGAAAGGGCUGAAAACUGAGCACCAUGGUCCCGCCCACCAUUGACUUUGUUCUGUGGCUUGCUGGUGGAGGAGGAGGUCACAGACAUGGAAGCAGACCAACUUCAGAUGGGAAGAAUGGGUUUGAUUCUUUAUCACCUGGACCUCAAAGUGUCGUCCGUAGACAAUUAGGUUUGAUAAAUGUUUAAAUUUGUUCACAACCUAUGAUCUACAGUUUCACUUUCAAAUGUUGACAUGUAGUGGGAGCAAAAACAGAACACGUUUGGUUUACAGUACAUUCACAUUCAGAUACACUUGUAUCAGACUUUGUAAAUGUUAUUCCAUGUGCUUUGGUGCAUUUAAUCAUAGUCUUUGCCAAUAUGAUCAAAUUAUAUUAACUUAAUUACUAUUUAUAAUAGAAGGCUGCUGAAAUUAGUAAGACGAACAGUUAAAAGAUGUCUUCGUGACUUAUAAAGAUACUUUAUUCUAAAAUGUUUCUUCUCGGUACACUGUUAUCGAACCAACAGGAAGAACUCAGGGACUGAAAUAGCUGAUUAACAUUUUUGCUGCUGCUUGGCAGACAGUAAAAUGCAUUGUUGUACUGGGCUCUGUUUCUUUUUAAUUUACUCAUACACUAAUACAACUUAUUUUUAAAUUAACAUAAUCAAUGCACUAUUGCAGUCCUCUUAUUUUGAAUGUAAUUUUGGAGCCAUCUUGCAUUAAAAGUCUCUUUGGUGUUUAGUCAAGUUAUACUACCUAAGCUCCUAAAAAGUUUGGACACUGUGUAAAAUGUUAAUAAAAACAGUGUUUGAUGGUUUACACAUGAUUUAGACCCUGUAUGUUAUUCCAAAUAGGGGAAAAAAACACAUCAAAUGUUGAAACUGAAAAAUAGAUAUGUUAUGAUCUCAUAGCCUGUGUUUUUUGUUGAAUGAUGCGGCAAAUGCAUUCAAUAGGUGACAAGUUGGGAGUGCAAGCAGGCCAGUUUAGCACCCGAACUCUUCUACUACAAAGCCAUGCAGUUGUAGUAUGUUCAAACCGUGGUUUGGCAUUGUCUUACUGAAACAUGCAAGGCCUUACCUGGGUAUUGUCUGGAUGGCAGCAUGUGUUGCUCUUAAACUUGUAUUAAUUGUUAAGUGUUGAUAGUGCCUUCCCAGGUGUGCAACCUACCCAUGCCAUGGGCACUUAUGCAUCCCCAUACCAUCAUGGAUGCUGGCUUUGAACUAUGUGCUGAUAACAAGCCAGGUGGUGCCACUCCUCUUUAGAGCGGAGGACAUAGUGUUCAUGAUUUCCAAAAAGAAUGUCAAAUUUUGAUCCGUCAAACAACAGAACAUUUUUCCUCUUCUCCUCAGUCCAUCUUAAACAGGCUCUGACCCCAAAAUUAGUAACUGGGGUUUCUGGAUCAAGUUUAUAUUUUUUCCUCUCUGCAUGGUACAUUAUAAACCAAGCUGCAACCUUCGGCCAUUAGAAAUGAAGCCUAUGUGGUAGUACUAAAAACUGCAGUUUCUUGAGUGUCCGCUCGAGGCCGGGGAAGUACCGGAAACCACAAAUUUUUAAAAAGACAUUUUACUACAGUUUACAGCCUGAUUCAAAAAAUGAGGCUAAAGGACCGCCUCAACUGUUUGCUUCUGUGCCUGUAGUUUGGUCAACUGGAAGAUAGGUUGAGUCAGCUUUUCCAACAACGACAUCCACUGACGAUAGGCUUCAAAACUCCACUCCCGAAACCAAUGGUUGACGUCUUGAAGGCGGAAUGCAUCAGAGGGCCUGAAGAUCACUGCCAUCCAGGUUGGUUUUCAGCCUCGUCCUUUUGCACUAAGAUUUCUCAGAUUCUCUGAAUCUCUCAAUGGUAUUUUUUUUUUAGAUCCUUUGAAAUUUAGUACUGAGUAACAUUAUUCUGAAAAUGUUAAAAAUAUUUGCUCAUGCAGUCUCUCACAAAGGAAAAAACACCUUCCCAUCUUUAGUUCUGACAGACUCAGCCUCCCCGGAGUUCCCUUUUUAUACCCGUCAUGUUACUGACCUGUUGCAAAGUAGCCUAUUUAGUUUAGUUAGGGAGAUGUUUCUUACAGGUGUUAUUUUUUGCAUUGUUUACAUUUUUCAGUGUUAUGUUGUCAUGUCCAAACUGAAACAUGUUGCUGGCAUUACAUUUAAAAUGAGCCUACAUUUUCCUUAAAACAACAUUUUUCAGUCUUGUCAUUUGAUAUGAUGUAUUUUCACGUUUUUUUUUAAUAUAGGAUUUAAAUGAAGUGCAAACCAUUGCAAUCUACCGUUAUCAACACUUUACACUGUCUGAACUUUUGGGGUAUUUGGGGUUGUGUAUAUCUUAUUGUACCGUAUUGUCUUAUUAUAAAUGCAACAGACAGAAAACAAAAGAAUUUGGGGAGGGGAUUGAAAGCUAUGAGGUAAAUUGGGCAGUUGUAAAUGUUCUCCCCUUCAACUCAGGACAAAGGAAGCACUUCCCCAUAAAAUUCAAACUGCUAGUAAUAAAAGUAUAACGACUUACAUGUAAAAGUGUCAUUUAAAGGGCUUCCCAAAUUGUUAUGGUACGCUGUAUGGUAUGCCUAUCUGUGUGAAGGGUCACAUUAGAGGCUUUUUACUCUUUGAAACAAACUUGUGAAGGUUCUGUGGAAAAUAAAUAAAGUAAGUUCACCUCUAAACACUA